RNAcentral lists this long non-coding RNA (1036 nucleotides) under Fukomys damarensis (Damara mole-rat). RNAcentral describes it as "lncRNA (ENSFDAG00000030700.1)". The record is from RNAcentral. Lineage: Eukaryota; Metazoa; Chordata; Mammalia; Rodentia; Bathyergidae.
AGCAGCUUGUGAGCUCCAGGCACCCGUUGGAGUGACGCUGCGGGAGGGUGUGAGUGGGCACGCCCGGCUGUGACAUGUGCGUGGCAAAUGAGGACUUGGGGCAGUGCAGGUGGACACCGGGGUGGCAGGGGUGUGCAUUUCCACGUGUGUACGUGCAUGUGCAAGUAUGUGUAUGUGCAUGUGUGCAUGUGCGUGUAAACGGAGGGAGCUGCGUCCAUGUGUGUGAGCUGGGUGUGUGCAGAGGAGGGAAUGUGUGAGUGAUGCUGUCCAAGGGUGGCACAGCCAUCAAGGCUGGGCACUCACUGUGGUCUUGGACAUCCCACUGGGUGCUGAUGAGAAGGGACUGAGGUGGCCACUGUCCAGCCCCCCACCACAUGCAGCCACUGACCAGGCACUUUUCUAGGUCCCGCCUCGUCCCUGCCCCUCCGGCUGACGUCACCCGGGACCUCUCAGGUCUUCCCAGUCCAGCGCUGCCCUCCGGUGGCCUUGGAGAGUGCGGGAUGCGAGGUAGGGGCGUGUGGGAACAGAGGGGGCCUGUGAAGGGGUGGGGACUGACACGGAGGGCACGCUGCAGCUGGCUGGGCAUGGGGGAGCUGGGAUCCCAAAGGGAGGGUGCAGCAGGACCCUCGAGGGAGUACGGGGAUCUCCAAGAGGCCGGUGCAGAGGGAUCCUCUGCAGCCUGUGUUUGGGGAGGGAGCUUCCCCGAGCCCCACCUAGGGAAGCUAGGACAGCAUGUCCAUCAGCGGAGCAGUGGAGAGGCUGAGCCAAACUUCAGCAUCAUCCUGGGUCUGAACCAGACAUGUGCACCCUUCCCUGCCCAGGAAGGAAACUGGGAUGGAUUCAGGAUUCUCUGGUGAGGGAGCAAAAGGAAAACUGGGGUCUGAUGGGGGGCUUUGCUGGAGUGGUCUGAGUCAUUGGGGGUCUGCUCCUGGCCAGCAGAAACCUGCUGACCAGUGGGAAGCCAGGCCAGGCCAUGAGUGCAUCUGCAAAUAUUGCAAACCCAGAGCUAGGAAUGAAUAGCUGAAUAGCGUGUGGC